CCUGGGAGUGGCAGGCAGGGCGAUGUGGCGGGAAUGGCGGCGGCGCAACACCAAGAGCAUCAGCUUCACCAACGCCACCUUCCGGAAAGGGCCCAUGGACCCCCUGGAUGGGGGGGGGCUCGGGGACCCCCUGCGGCCGCUGACGUCAGAGGACGAUGAGCCCUGAGGAUUUGGGGGAGCCAAGACCCCCGACCCCCCCCCCGGAGCCCCCCUGGAGUUGGGGGGGGGGGGCAGCUGCAGGACUGAGAGCAGGGUUGGGGGCGGCCACACCUGGGAGCAGUUGUGUGCACGUGGAAACACCUGGGCAGACAUCUGGAUACACCUGGGCACAGCGUGGAAUGGCUGUGCACGCUCGGACGUGGCUGUAGAUACACCUGGGAACACCUGUCAACACUCAGGCACACCUGGACGUGGGCUGUGCACACCCGGACAUGAGUGCAGACACACCUGCACACCUGUGCACUGCUGUCCGUGCUUGUUCACGGCUGUCCAGGUGCCCCAAGUGACCCGUGGGGCAGUUUGGGGCUUUUUUUAAACCAAAAUACUGUGAACUUCGCCCAGAUUGAGGCCCUGGGAAUUGGGCGGGGCCGAGGGGACCCGACCCGUCCCCCAUCAAUAAAGUUUUAUUUAUUGAUCGA
Molecule: non-coding RNA, 638 nt
Organism: Sturnus vulgaris (Common starling)
Lineage: Eukaryota; Metazoa; Chordata; Aves; Passeriformes; Sturnidae
Source: RefSeq, a predicted model, not a curated record